UGCUGGGCCCAUAACCCAGAGGUCGAUG
Molecule: non-coding RNA, 28 nt
Filed under: Gallus gallus (chicken)
Lineage: Eukaryota; Metazoa; Chordata; Aves; Galliformes; Phasianidae
Also listed under: 6 other names
Source: RNAcentral